Molecule: unclassified non-coding RNA, 21 nt
Filed under: synthetic construct
Source: RNAcentral
GGGAUCACCAUUAGGGAUCUC